GAGACUAGAUAGUAAACAAUGAUAAGAUAUGUUAAUUGCAUUAUACCAAUGCUAGCAUAUUCUAAUCUAAUCCAUAGCAACAACAGAUGAAUAUAACAUUAAGGGCAUGCCAAUCUUCUAUUAGCAUAAUAAACUAGAUGAGAGUAUGGAACUAGCUUAAGUUUAACAACAAUUCUCAUCCCCAUCAGGUGUUAUACGUCCAAAGUGCAAAAUAACAUCAUUUAAUGGGAUACACGAGCAAACAUAAUUGUGAUGUUUCAAAUAGAAAACACUCAUUUCUUCCCACUUUUCUUCAGUCCAGUCCCGCCAAAGGAACCCUUUUGUGAAGCCUUAGCUCUCAGCUCCUUGAGUGCCUAAUCAAAAUUUGAAAUAUUUGUAAUUAUGCUUUCGAAGUUUAGUCAAAUCAAAUGUUAGUAUAUGAGAAAGAAAAGGUUAAAAGCCUCACCUUUUCCUCUUCUUUCUUCUUCUGCAGAUUCGCAAGAUCAUUCUGCCAAAGUAUAACACAAAACACAUUAGAUUAAGGUCAACCACAAUCCACAUGAACAUCAAGAUUGGCUAACAAUGGUUGAAUAUAUAUGAACAAAGGAUGGCAGAGUGGACGGGUGAUGCUUUUUAAGCACCAUAAUUUCAUGGUCACCGGGUUCACAAGUGUUUGAUCAAUCAUGUUUUCAAGUCAUUAUAAAGCUCCCAUUGUUAAAAAAGACAAUCAGUAUACCGGUGAGAGGUUGGCAUAAAAUUCAUAAUCAGCAAGACAAGUGUUAAAGAAUGGAAUUACACACAAACUUCUCUUUCAUAAAUCCUGUUUCUUUUUCAAAACCUACUGUAAAUUAAGUCUUUUUGUUGCAUCAUAUGUAAAAUAGUCUCCUUUUGUUGCUAAUGAUGGUUAUAGUAAAUAAAUCCUCUUGGAAUUUUAUAUUUAGCUCAGUUAAAGCAUACAACAACAAUAACUUGUUGAUCUUGUAAUUAAAAUUGAAACUUUGCAAAACCAUGGCUACUUUGAAUUGGUUUUUAAAAGAAAAUGAAAAAGCGGAAACUUGAGAUUGCAAAACAUAAAAAAAACAAAGACAGAAAUUCUAAUAAAGAAUUAAAGUAUAGCUAAACAACAAAAAUAACAAUAAUAAUAAUAGUAAUACCUCGUCGUAUUCCUUCUUUUCAGUCUUGGGUUGCUUCAAAGGUUUGGCCUUUCCACCUAAAUACAACAAAACCAUACAUAAGCUUUUUUGUUUAUAGCUCAAUUAACGAAAAACAAAAAAGCAUAUAAUCUAUCUAGCUAGGGUUUCUAUAAUAAUCUAUAAAAGAAAAAACAAAGGUUGAGAUCAGAAGAUUGUGUUACCUUGCUUUGACGACAUGAUAUGAUUGCUGUAAGAAAGAAGAAGACGCGCAGAGAUACUUUUAAGGCCCAAACCCCAGAAAAUAGUUUUGAUUCCACAAAAUAGUUUUGAUUCCUUUACAAGCUC
Molecule: long non-coding RNA, 1457 nt
Filed under: Aquilegia coerulea
Lineage: Eukaryota; Viridiplantae; Streptophyta; Magnoliopsida; Ranunculales; Ranunculaceae
Description: long non-coding RNA (ACOE_LNC000046)
Source: RNAcentral